This is a long non-coding RNA of Cololabis saira (Pacific saury), 1286 nucleotides long. RefSeq lists it as uncharacterized. The record is from RefSeq and is a predicted model, not a curated record. The transcript has 3 exons. NCBI's taxonomy places the organism in Eukaryota, Metazoa, Chordata, Actinopteri, Beloniformes, Belonidae.
CUUUGGAUGAAAAGGCAGAACGUUUGUUUCCUGGUCUUCAGCUGAUAAAAGACUCUUCUCUCUUUUGAAUCAGAGGACUCUCAUCACUGAAGAUCUUCAGACAGCCAAGUGUUGCCUGGACCACUGCUCAACCAACUAACCAGUAAUUCAUCAGCCGAGUUAAAGCACGAGUGAACCAUGAAGAUCACGGUAGCUGUCCUGCUGCUGCUCUCUGCUCUUGGACUCUCUCAAGCGCUGAACUUCUAUGACAAACAUGUCAUCCGUGGAUUGCAUACUAAUGAGUGUGAUAAUAAAAUGGUACGGAUCGUUAGAGACUGUCGAAGGUGCAAGCCUGUAAAUACCUUCAUCCUUGAACAAAAUAACAAUAUAGCAAACGUCUGCCGGGGCAUAAGAAAUGGCAAUGGUUUUCUUCAAAACCCUCGUGGUUUUGUUUAUAGAUAUAGUAGAGGAACCUUCCCCAACUGUCAAUACACAAACAAUUCUCCAAUCCCACGCAGGCUUCGAGUAAAAUGUGAAAAUGGUGUGCCUGUGCACUUGUUUGGUCAAAUAUGUAGAGGGGUGCGGGGCAUAUGACCGGGCCCUUUGCAGUGGGCCAAGUGAUGGAUGAUGACGUAUGACUUUACUAGACGGCUGUUGAUGACGAACGAUUUUACCCAAAAUACAUUUGGAGAUUCACUUGCAAUUUUUGUUUUAAUGUUAACUGUGAGUGUGAAAAUCUCAGCACAACAUAUUAUACAAUGCUUUAUACCUAAUAUGAACCGAGUGGUACCACAAAAAAAAAAAAAAUCUCGCAGGCGGGGCCCAUUGGGCCCCGGGCUGGGGGAGUACCGCCCCCCCCAGCCCCCCCUGAAGCCCCGCCCCUUUGUGAAGAUGAAGAUUAAUCAUAUGUUGGAUUUUCGGUCUGUUUAAGUUUGGUAAACAAUGCAGAAAAUAAUCAAGCACAGCUGAGAUGCAUCACUUUCUCACAUUUAUUGAUCUUUUUUUUUUACCACUUUCCACUGUCUCUUCAUGAUUUUGCUGUUUCAACCUGAUCUGUGUUUUAUUUUAUGUACGGAUCUAAUGUGAGAGUUUCUUUCUUUUUUUUGUCUCAUCUGAUUUCUUCUUAAAAAUCCAUUGUUUGUUGUUUUGUGUUGAUUAUAAAAGUGUCAAUAACAAGUUUGGGGACAAACAACAAAAACAAAACUGUCUUUGCACGCGAUGACCAAUCAGAGCAACAACAAGGUGGCGUAUUCAGCGUGUGUUGUGUGGAGGAGUACAUUAAAAGUUUUCCGUAGCCUGUCUGCAAA